RNAcentral lists this ribosomal RNA (914 nucleotides) under uncultured bacterium. RNAcentral's name for it is "bacterial SSU rRNA". It matches the Rfam family "Bacterial small subunit ribosomal RNA", at positions 33 to 938 of the family's 1533-position model. The record is from RNAcentral.
ACGCUGGCGGCAGGCUUAACACAUGCAAGUCGAACGGUAACAGGGAUUAGCUUGCUAAUUUGCUGACGAGUGGCGGACGGGUGAGUAAUGCUUGGGAAUCUGGCUUAUGGAGGGGGAUAACUACGGGAAACUGUAGCUAAUACCGCGUAAUAUCGGAAGAUUAAAGGGUGGGACUUUCGAGCCACCUGCCAUAAGAUGAGCCCAAGUGGGAUUAGGUAGUUGGUUAGGUAAAGGCUGACCAAGCCGACGAUCUCUAGCUGGUCUGAGAGGAUGACCAGCCACACUGGAACUGAGACACGGUCCAGACUCCUACGGGAGGCAGCAGUGGGGAAUAUUGCACAAUGGGGGGAACCCUGAUGCAGCCAUGCCGCGUGAAUGAAGAAGGCCUUCGGGUUGUAAAGUUCUUUCGGCGACGAGGAAGGUUGAUAGGUUAAUAGCCUAUCAAAUUGACGUUAAUCACAGAAGAAGCACCGGCUAACUCCGUGCCAGCAGCCGCGGUAAUACGGGGGGUGCGAGCGUUAAUCGGAAUAACUGGGCGUAAAGGGCACGCAGGCGGUGACUUAAGUGAGAUGUGAAAGCCCCGAGCUUAACUUGGGAAUUGCAUUUCAUACUGGGUCGCUAGAGUACUUUAGGGAGGGGUAGAAUUCCACGUGUAGCGGUGAAAUGCGUAGAGAUGUGGAGGAAUACCGAAGGCGAAGGCAGCCCCUUGGGAAUGUACUGACGCUCAUGUGCGAAAGCGUGGGGAGCAAACAGGAUUAGAUACCCUGGUAGUCCACGCUGUAAACGAUGUCGAUUUGGGGAUUGGGCUUUGAGCUUGGUGCCCGUAGCUAACGUGAUAAAUCGACCGCCUGGGGAGUACGGCCGCAAGGUUAAAACUCAAAUGAAUUGACGGGGGCCCGCACAAGCGGUGGAGC